This 256-nucleotide ribosomal RNA is filed under the name uncultured bacterium. RNAcentral's name for it is "partial 16S ribosomal RNA". It matches the Rfam family "Bacterial small subunit ribosomal RNA", at positions 524 to 776 of the family's 1533-position model. The record is from RNAcentral.
UACGAAGGGGGGCUAGCGUUGCUCGGAAUUACUGGGCGUAAAGGGGAGCGUAGGCGGGUUAUCAAGUUGGAGGUGAAAGCCCAGGGCUCAACCUUGGAAUUGCCUUCAAAACUGAUAGCCUAGAGUAUGAUAGAGGUAUGUGGAACUCCGAGUGUAGAGGUGAAAUUCGUAGAUAUUCGGAAGAACACCAGUGGCGAAGGCGACAUACUGGGUCAUGACUGACGCUGAGGCUCGAAAGCGUGGGGGAGCAAACAGG